CGAUAAUUACCAAAGUCAUUGAAACAGUUAAACAGAAGUUAAUGAGCAUAUGCUGCAUUUAUAACUAUCACAUACUUGAUUGUUUUUCUAUUUUACUGCCUUAAAUAUGCGGUAGAUGAUUCAGUUUUUAGAUUCCCCGAGCCCUUGUCGCUUUGAAAGUAGUAUGCCUAGUGAUUUGUUUUUUGUACAAUAUUUAACAACUUUCAGCAAAAACAUGAUCUUCCGUUGCUUGCAAUCUAAGUGAAGCUCAAUUCCCCGAAUCGGGAUUUUGUACGACAAUAUCUUAACUUGAAAUCAUGAGGAAUCAACACUGUAGAAGUAAAAUAACUGUUUAAUAACAGUGCGAUCUUACCUUUAUCCUAUACUAUUUUUCCUAUUUUCUUUUUGCAUCUGCGUUUAUUGAGUGAAGUGAAAGAGGUAUUUAUUCUACUUAAUAACAUGAAUUUGAACUGACAGAGAUCCAAUAUAUAACAAACAAGAUUCCUAUACUCGUUUAAAAAGGAUUUGAAUAAACUGUUUUUAGGAUACUGUUCUAUUUACUUAUUUAUUUUCAGGCAAAAAAAUAGUGCCGCGUGAAAGACCCUCUUUUGCUUUUCCCGAUUGAAUACAUUAUACAAUUAAAAUCCUUUUUUGCUAAAAGAUUGAAUUUAACCAGCGAUUGAUUGUUUUUAUACGUUCGAGAGUUUCAUCUCCGUUUUUAUUAACUUGCAAGAUCAUUCACAAGACGAAAAAUCCUUGAUCGAAUAACAUUACUUUUUGCUUAUUAAGUUGAACUGUUCAGAUUUAUAGAUGACUAGCCUUGACUGUUCAAUUGCACUUAAACAAGCAAUCACUUUAAUUCACUUCGAUCGUUUCGGUAUAAGACGCACUUCAAAUCCUAAGGGUAGUCGACUCUAUUAAAUUUAUAAAUUUGUUAGCAUAAAUAUAACAUUAUUCUGAAUUGC
RNAcentral lists this unclassified non-coding RNA (944 nucleotides) under Schizosaccharomyces pombe (fission yeast). RNAcentral's name for it is "non-coding RNA (predicted)". Lineage: Eukaryota; Fungi; Ascomycota; Schizosaccharomycetes; Schizosaccharomycetales; Schizosaccharomycetaceae. The record is from RNAcentral.